UGACUAAAUUAAAAUAACUUCCUACGAUUUAUUACAAAUUCGUAGAAAAAAAACAUCUCAUCAAGUCUAAAUUCUUUUAGUUGGAUAGUCGCAAUAGGUUAAUACCGAAUCUAGUUUUUUCUUCUUAAAAAUAUAUAUAUAAUUUGAAAAAAGAAAACAGUAUAUACAUCAGUGGCUUUGAGACCAGAAAACAUAACAUUACUUUUGAAAACUAAUAAUAACUCAUCUAACAAAAUUAUAUCCAACUUUUCCCCCUCCACAAAACAAGGCUAGUUCAUGUCCAAACAAAAUUUGACUACUAACAGAAACUGAGAGUUUCACCACAUGUUGCUUGAAUGGCACCUCAUUCUGCUUUCUCCUUGGAUCAGUCAUCGGUAGUAUGAUGCCAUAAUGUAGAGCAUGAUUGCUGUCGAUGCAGUGACUAAUA
This 427-nucleotide long non-coding RNA is filed under the name Carica papaya (papaya). RNAcentral's name for it is "long non-coding RNA (CPAP_LNC014762)". The record is from RNAcentral. Lineage: Eukaryota; Viridiplantae; Streptophyta; Magnoliopsida; Brassicales; Caricaceae.